RNAcentral lists this ribosomal RNA (373 nucleotides) under uncultured organism. RNAcentral describes it as "partial 16S ribosomal RNA". It matches the Rfam family "Bacterial small subunit ribosomal RNA", at positions 527 to 896 of the family's 1533-position model. The record is from RNAcentral.
GUAGGUGGCAAGCGUUGUCCGGAAUUAUUGGGCGUAAAGCGCGCGCAGGCGGUUCUUUAAGUCUGAUGUGAAAGCCCACGGCUCAACCGUGGAGGGUCAUUGGAAACUGGAGAACUUGAGUACAGAAGAGGAAAGCGGAAUUCCACGUGUAGCGGUGAAAUGCGUAGAGAUGUGGAGGAACACCAGUGGCUAAGGCGGCUUUCUGGUCUGUAACUGACGCUGAGGCGCGAAAGCGUGGGGAGCAAACAGGGAUUAGAUACCCUGGUAGUCCACGCCGUAAACGAUGAGUGCUAAGUGUUAGGGGGGUUUCCGCCCCCUUAGUGCUGCAGCUAACGCAUUAAGCACUCCGCCUGGGGAUACGGCCGCAAGGCUG